CCUGUUCUCGGUUACUUGCCCC
RNAcentral lists this microRNA (22 nucleotides) under Ornithorhynchus anatinus (platypus). RNAcentral's name for it is "oan-miR-26-2-3p". Its record names the gene oan-miR-26-2-3p. Lineage: Eukaryota; Metazoa; Chordata; Mammalia; Monotremata; Ornithorhynchidae. The record is from miRBase by way of RNAcentral.